This is a long non-coding RNA of Bos taurus (domestic cattle), 1678 nucleotides long. Lineage: Eukaryota; Metazoa; Chordata; Mammalia; Artiodactyla; Bovidae. The record is from Ensembl.
UCCUCAAGGAAAUGGCAACCCACUCCAGUACUCUUGCCUGGAGAAUCCCAUGGACGGAGGAGCCUCGGCGGCUACAGUCCACGGGGUCGCAAAGAGUCGGACACAACUGAGCGACUUCACUCACUCAAGAUUUUUAAUAAGGAUCACAACCGACGGGCAGGCUGGAGGCGGAGAUGCAGGAGCAAACGACAUCAGAAAGGUCAGAGCAGCUCUGUUUGUUUUUCCAAACUGUCAGAGUAAAGUUACAACGUGCCACCUGGGUAAGCCACUAGCAAAGUCCCCGGAUGACGUCCACUGUAACCGCAGGGAUUUCUCACAGUGGGGAUUGCUAGAAGAAGAAUUUGCUUGGGGGAAGGGAGCUGCCAGAAACCAGCCCCAGCGAAGCACCGGGAUGGCUCAAUGCUUGACAUGACAACGGUCUUAUUUUUAAUCCUCAACCAGACCCUCUGAGGUAGGUAUUACUAUUCCCAGAAUAAUAAUGGGGUGGGGGGUGGUGCAGUGAUUCGCCCCCUGGUGUUUCCCUUCUCAGAUACUCCAGUAUCAGGUCAUUUCUGCUUCUCUUUUUGGUUUUCAGUGCCAUCAGCAUAAUCUCUGUCAGAGGGUGGGAGUUUUACAUUUGCAAUUCUAGAUUUUUCUUUCUGCUGGGUUUCCGGCAGCCCACUGCUGUUUUUCACAUCUCUUAACUGCACAUCAAAUGAAUCAAGCCCUGGAACUAGUCCUAAGGUGUUUCCUGGGGAAGGGGAGGGGGGUGGUCCCUGGGGGAUCUCUCUCUUUGCAGUUUAAGAUUUUGAAAGGCAUAACUUUGUGGUCAGGGGCGAGCAAGUUCUCUGAGUCAGCUUUUUCAGUUCAAACCCCCACUUUCUUCCCUCCCGAGUCACUGCUCUGGGUGCUUGGGGGCUCCAACCUGCUUCCUGACAGUCAUCCUUCCCAAACCUGACUGUGCGAUGAAGCACCUGCUGGGUUUUCCAAAAAUGAGGAUUUCUCAGGCUGGGCUUCUAUCUUACAGGCACAGACUCUGAUGGCAAGAGUCCCCUCUCUCGAGCCUCAGCCAUCAGAAAGAGCUACGGACAAAGGAAAAUGCACACUAAUUUAAGACUCAUUCUGAUUACUGACCAAGCCCCAUCUCUGUAGGUGCCACCUGUGCUGAGACCACCUCCCUCCACCAUUCUGCAACUCCCAGCCUCCUCCGCGCACAGUGACGUCAUUUCCUGGUACGUUUGCUGUCAGCUUCUCCCACCAGGAGGGCAGGCCGACCCUCUUCAUGGGCACAGCGCCUGGGGGUGCCCGCACCGCUCAGUGACUCGGGAUUACAGAGUUUUACUUCUGGAUGGUUCUCCAGUCUGCCUACGGUCACACCAAAACUACGCAGCUCCUUCUGAGCCAGGCAGUGGGCACCCAGCAUGGAUCUUAGUUCCCUGACCAGGGAUUGAAUCCGAGCCCCCUGCGUUGGAAGCCUGGCCUUAACCACUGGACCACCAGGGAAGUCCCUUGUCCGCAUUCUUUCUAGGAUUGGGUAUGAUCAGACUUUUAAAUGCUCUGCCGAAGAUUUCUCUUGAAAGGGGAAUAUGCAGAUGAAGAUGUUUUCAGACUAUAUCACACCUUUAAAUGUUUUUUUAAGUACUGUUACUAGAUUUUGACAUUGUUCUCACCCCAGACCUCAGCUCAAAUGUCCCCCCUC